RNAcentral lists this ribosomal RNA (373 nucleotides) under uncultured organism. Its description in RNAcentral is "partial 16S ribosomal RNA". It matches the Rfam family "Bacterial small subunit ribosomal RNA", at positions 528 to 896 of the family's 1533-position model. The record is from RNAcentral.
GGGGGGGCAAGCGUUGUUCGGAAUUACUGGGCGUAAAGGGCGCGCAGGCGGCCCGGCCAGUCCCUUGUGAAAUCCCACGGCUCAACUGUGGAACUGCAGGGGAUACUGCCAGGCUUGAGUCCGGGAGAGGGUAGUGGAAUUCCCAGUGUAGCGGUGAAAUGCGUAGAUAUUGGGAGGAACACCGGUGGCGAAGGCGGCUACCUGGACCGGUACUGACGCUGAGGCGCGAAAGCUAGGGGAGCAAACGGGAUUGGAUACCCCGGGUAGUCCUAGCUGUAAACGUUGAGCACUUGGUGUGGCGGGUAUCGACCCCCCCGCUGUGCCGAAGCUAACGCAUUAAGUGCUCCGCCUGGGGAGUACGGUCGCAAGGCUG